RNAcentral lists this ribosomal RNA (889 nucleotides) under uncultured bacterium. Its description in RNAcentral is "bacterial SSU rRNA". It matches the Rfam family "Bacterial small subunit ribosomal RNA", at positions 75 to 957 of the family's 1533-position model. The record is from RNAcentral.
GGGGGCAACCCUGGCGGCGAGCGGCGAACGGGUGAGUAAUACAUCGGAACGUACCCAGGAGUGGGGGAUAACACAUCGAAAGAUGUGCUAAUACCGCAUACGCCCUGAGGGGGAAAGCGGGGGACCGCAAGGCCUCGCGCUGUUGGAGCGGCCGAUGUCGGAUUAGCUAGUUGGUGGGGUAAGGGCCUACCAAGGCGACGAUCCGUAGCUGGUCUGAGAGGAUGAUCAGCCACACUGGGACUGAGACACGGCCCAGACUCCUACGGGAGGCAGCAGUGGGGAAUUUUGGACAAUGGGGGCAGCCCUGAUCCAGCCAUUCCGCGUGAGUGAAGAAGGCCUUCGGGUUGUAAAGCUCUUUCGGCAGGAACGAAACGGCGGGCUCUAACAUAGCCUGUCAAUGACGGUACCUGAAGAAGAAGCACCGGCUAACUACGUGCCAGCAGCCGCGGUAAUACGUAGGGUGCGAGCGUUAAUCGGAAUUACUGGGCGUAAAGCGUGCGCAGGCGGUUUUGUAAGACAGCUGUGAAAUCCCCGGGCUUAACCUGGGAACUGCGGUUGUGACUGCAAGACUAGAGUGCGGCAGAGGGGGGUGGAAUUCCACGUGUAGCAGUGAAAUGCGUAGAGAUGUGGAGGAACACCGAUGGCGAAGGCAGCCCCCUGGGUUGACACUGACGCUCAUGCACGAAAGCGUGGGUAGCAAACAGGAUUAGAUACCCUGGUAGUCCACGCCCUAAACGAUGCCAACUAGGUGUUGGGGGAAGGAGACUUCCUUAGUACCGUAGCUAACGCGUGAAGUUGGCCGCCUGGGGAGUACGGUCGCAAGAUUAAAACCCAAAGGAAUUGACGGGGACCCGCACAAGCGGUGGAUGGAUGUGGAUUAAUUCGAUGC